This 485-nucleotide ribosomal RNA is filed under the name Granulicatella sp. canine oral taxon 095. RNAcentral's name for it is "bacterial SSU rRNA". It matches the Rfam family "Bacterial small subunit ribosomal RNA", at positions 9 to 474 of the family's 1533-position model. Lineage: Bacteria; Bacillati; Bacillota; Bacilli; Lactobacillales; Carnobacteriaceae. The record is from RNAcentral.
GAGUUUGAUCCUGGCUCAGGACGAACGCGGCGGCGUGCCUAAUACAUGCAAGUCGAACGAACGGAGAAAGAAGCUUGCUUUUUUCAAAGUUAGUGGCGAACGGGUGAGUAACACGUGGGUAACCUGCCCAUCAGAGGGGGAUAACAUUCGGAAACGGAUGCUAAAACCGCAUAGGUUCCUUAGUUGCAUGACUGAGGAAGGAAAAGAGGCGUAAGCUUCUGCUGGUGGAUGGACCCGUGGUGCAUUAGCUAGUUGGUGAGGUAACGGCUCACCAAGGCGAUGAUGCAUAGCCGACCUGAGAGGGUGAUCGGCCACAUUGGGACUGAGACACGGCCCAAACUCCUACGGGAGGCAGCAGUAGGGAAUCUUCCGCAAUGGACGCAAGUCUGACGGAGCAACGCCGCGUGAGUGAAGAAGGUUUUCGGAUCGUAAAACUCUGUUGUUAGAGAAGAAUAAGCAUAAUAGUAACUGAUUAUGCCGUGACG